This 2980-nucleotide long non-coding RNA is filed under the name Olea europaea (common olive). RNAcentral describes it as "long non-coding RNA (OEUR_LNC012573)". The record is from RNAcentral. Lineage: Eukaryota; Viridiplantae; Streptophyta; Magnoliopsida; Lamiales; Oleaceae.
AUCCUUUUGCAAUACACGUGGAGUCCUAAAAGUUAGAACAUAAAAACUAGAUGAAAAUAAGAAAAUCAUUGAGUUUGAUAUUUGCACUUACGGAUUUUUUAUAUGAACGUCUACAUUCAUUACGUAAAAGUUGAACUUAAAUGACAUUUGAGUUCAAGACCAAGCCUUCAAUUCCACUACUGAACAAGACUUUCAUUUAUCUUUUUAGACAAGUGUUAGGAUUCUGCAUUCCAUAUCCAUUGAUAAGAAGAAUAUCAGUGAUUGAGACACAUUUUUUAUUCAACAUGCUUCAAAGGCCAAGAUAUAAAUACUCGUUGGCAUGCAACGCAACCUUUUUACAGUGAACGUGGAGUCCUAAAAGUUAGAAGAUAAAAACUAGAUGAAAGUAAGAAAAUCAUCGAGUUCAUAAAAGUACUAAGUUCACUUUGCCUACAUUUGGCUUAUGUCCGAAACACACUAUCACUUUUUGCUCUCAAAAAGUACAAGUACUCUCCAAUUAUUUAUAACACCUUUCUAUUUAUUUAUAAUUUAAAGCCAAACUUUAAAAACAGUGGUCAUAUUUUCAAGUGGUCAAGUCGAAGUGAUUAUUUUCAACAAUUUUCUCAUAAUUAUUUUCCAAAAACACGAUAUUCAGAUUCAUUUUCACUUUAUUGAAAAUAAAAAUUGACCAGUAUUCCAAACUAAGCUCCCUCAGAACUUGAGAAUAUUUUCAACAUCAAAAUUUUCAGACAAGGCUGAAACAUGACAUUUUUCCCAUCGUAGAGAGCUUCAAAGAUGAAGAACAAAGCAAUCAAGUAACACUCACAAUGGUGAAUGAAUUCCAAUACAUACUACAUGAAUAUACAUGUUCUAUUAAGAAAUAUUGGACGACGACGAUAAUGAUGAUGAUAAAUUAAAUAAAUAAAUAAAAUUUAUGCAUAUGAACUAAUGUGUUUGUGUAUAAAUUGAAGGAAUCCAGAAGGAUCCAUUGGUUUAUUAAAAUCGAAGGACAAAUCCUCAUAGAAUAGGUCGUUUCAAACAUCACAGCCCAAACGCAACUAACCAAAACAUUUUAACUUUAAUAAUUCAUUAAGUUAGGUGAAAAUCUCUUUAAAAACAAAUAAAAAUGAAAAAUUGGUGUAGCUCAGAACUCGGAUAAAAAUCAUGUACUCGUUUCAUUUUACAAAAUUGUGUGCAGUGGGCUGGUAAGACAUCCUAUUCAAUUUAUACAUCAGUUAUAUCUCCCAGUGUAAUGUCCCAAAUUUCAAUAAUAUAUCCAGCGCGUUAACAAACGUGAGUUCUUUAAUGUAAAUCUGAUUAAAGAAAUUUUUUAAAUAAGAAUAUAUUUAAUCAAACUAUAUAAUCAUGAUAUAUCUAUUUUUUUUUUAACAUAUAAACUUAGAAAUAUUACGGAACAAAAUAAUUUUUAAAAAAAAGCAAGCUGAAACAGUUUUCUACGGUUCCGAAAUUAUUUGAUCUAGCAAAUCUUGAUGAAAAUUUAUAAAAUUUUACAUAAAGUAUAGAACUCAUAUAGGUACAACAUAUAAAAAUUUGGGAUCUCGACGAUUACGUUUGAAGCACGAAAUUAUUUUUCGAACAAGCUGGUCCAUGUUUCCCGAAUUUAACCGUCAUAGUAAACUAAAGCUGAUCAUUUUCCAAUUAAAAACAUGCUAAAAUUCUAAACAUACCGACCAUAGCACAAUUUUAAAAACAUUGACAAAAUUCUGAAAUUUACUAAAAACACACUUUCAAACAUUAAAAAAUUUCCUCCUAAAAACAUGAAUUUAAACUACAAUUUAUAGGACACCCAAUGAUUAUUAAACAUAAAAGUGACAAUCUAAAACAUAAGAAAUAAAUUUCUCUAAAAAAAAAGCACAUGCCAUUUAUGAUGAACCACCGCUAGAUCUCCGAUUACUCCGAAAGAUUAAAUAAGAGUGAGCAUUAUGUUGCCUUCAUAAAUAAGCAAAUCGAUGAUCAAAUGAUUUACUUUCUGAUGGGCCUCUGCAAUCAUCGGUUUAAACAAAUAUAAUCUUUCAUGCAUCAAAAUUUAAGAAAAACUAGCACUUCAUAUACUUCAUGAGCAAAUAUAACGAAUAACAUGUUUAAAUGAAAAUUUAAUUCAUAUAACAACAACUUCACGUAGGGAUCCUACCUUAAUUUGAAGUGAUAAGAUAGUAUCUACUUGAACGGAACACUCCAAAUCUCAAAUGUAAAAAUGCUUUCUUUAACGGGUUUGUCGUGUGUGCAUGUAUAUUAUCUAAAAUGUCUUGUAACCUAAUUUCAAUUGGAAUUCAUACGUAAACAGGAGUCUAAAACCGUUUAAAAUGAUAGAAUUUGAUUUUCAAGUAUUAGCACUGGGGAUAUGUAUUAGAUAUAUAUAUAUAUAUAUAUAUAAUCAAUCAAAAUAUCAAAUUCCAACUAUCUAGUGAUACUCGUGGCGCUAAAAUUUCAAUUGCUCAAAUAUAACUUCUUUUGAACUUCAAUAACUUAGCCUAGUUUAUCCGAAAUAACUUUUUCUCGAGUACAAAAUUCGUCAUUUAAUAUGAGUUUCGAAAUAAGCCCAAUAUCGAUAUAAAAUUUAUCGCUAGAUGAAUACUUGAUUAUCUGACCGAAAGCUAAAAUUUUGACACAAUGACUUAUUUUUAAACUAGUCCAUUGGUAUCUCAAUUAACAAAAUAUGUCAAGAUGAAAUAAAUGAAAAAUUACCUUCGAUUGCUACAUUUGGUACACACAUAGCAUCAUAUACAGGGAGAGGGUAAACCAGAUGCAAUAUUGACGUAUAAUUAAUACAUGAAAACCACACCAGAAAAUCGGAGAGAAACACAUCAUCAGGUAAAAAGAAAAGCCAGAUCGAAAUUAUUUGGAUCGAAGAAUUCGGUGAAGAUGAACGAAAGAAGUGUAUUAUGGAAGGCGGCUUAUGGAUUGUUUAAAUAGCGAUUUAUAGAGCUAGGUUUUGCUUUGAGUUAAUUUCCCAAAUCGCUAUGAAAUUUUAUACUUAAAA